Molecule: unclassified non-coding RNA, 3122 nt
Filed under: Nilaparvata lugens (brown planthopper)
Lineage: Eukaryota; Metazoa; Arthropoda; Insecta; Hemiptera; Delphacidae
Description: serine/threonine-protein kinase fused, transcript variant X5
Source: RNAcentral
UAAUGUUACUUUCUGAAUCCGUUAUUGAUGUAUCUUACCUGAAAAUAAAGGUUUAUUUUGUGAUUUAGGCUACAUGCAUGGCCUAUCGUCAGUGGCCAGCCUAAUAGAAUACUUCCAAUGAUGAUAAUAAUUGAUAUUAUGACAUAAUUUCAUGAUUAUGAUACAAUUAUUGCAUCUCUGCGCUCAAGUAAAAAUCCCGCUCCAUUGUAGAUGUAAAAUACGUGUGAAUCGAUUAAUGAGAAUCGACUUUGAAUUCAAGUCAAGCAACAUAACCUCAUUCUUAUUGCGUUGUGAAUUUUUGACAAGGGAAUUUUUCGGUUCUUGAUGAUCAGUGUUUAUUGAGAUUAGUGCAAUAUUUGCAACGAAUAACUCAGUAUUCUUUCUCAAAUUUCACUAAAAUUCAUUGCUGGGUAAUUAUUUGUGAGUAGAUAAUGCAAGCUUUGUAAAUGAGCUGUUUCCUAUUCAACUUGAGAGAUGGGCUUGAAAACAAGGUACGGUAAAGGAAUUAACAAAUCAUAAAUUAUAAUUGAACAAUAUCAUUGUGAUACAAAAUGGAUAAAUACGAGCUGGUGGGGAUGGUUGGAGAAGGAUCGUUUGGCAGAGUUUAUAAGGGCAGAAUCAUUGAAACGGACGAGAUAAUUGCUUUGAAAAUAAUAAGCAAGUGUGGUAGAUCUAUGAAAGAACUGGCCAGUCUACGUAGUGAAUGCGAAGUCCAGCGGGACCUAUGUCAUCCCAACAUCAUCAAAAUGAUCGACUCGUUUGAAACGGAAGGAGAUAUCGUGGUUGUAACUGAGUAUGCCAACAGGGAGUUGUCGGAAAUAUUGAGUCAAGAAGGCUAUUUGGAGGAAACUCGAGCCAGGAAAAUUAUCUGUGAUUUGGUUUCGGCUCUUUUCUACUUGCAUUCCAAUCGAGUAUUGCACAGAGAUUUGAAGCCCCAAAACGUGCUAAUCGAUGACAAGGGGACAGCUAAGCUGUGUGACUUUGGAUUCGCCCGCAGCAUGAGUACUGGAACGCAUGUGCUAACCUCUAUCAAGGGCACCCCACUCUACAUGGCUCCUGAACUCAUAGAAGAAAGUCCUUACGACCAUAAUGCUGACCUUUGGUCGCUUGGAUGCAUAGCCUACGAGAUGAUAGUGGGAGCGACCCCUUUCACGACCACCUCGAUACUGCACCUGGUGCAACUGUUGCGGUACGAGUCGGUCAAGUGGCCGACCUUCGUGUCAGCCGCCUGUCUCACGUUCCUGCAAGGCCUGCUGGAGAAAGACCCUGCCAGACGACUGUCCUGGCCCCAACUGCUCGACCAUCCAUUCAUCAAGGGAUCGGUUAUUGUGUCCAAUGAGGAAGGAGGUGAAAAUCCUCUGACAAGUGUCCUAACAACAUCACAAUCCAAUGCCAAGGAGAAUCAGAUGAAGGAUUUGGUCAGAAGAAAUUCCAGAAGCAGGUCAUUGGGUAAAGUGUCCUAUACUCCAAUAAGGCCUCAAGAAUUCAGAAAUGCUCCUACAUCUGUAUCGAAUACGAAGGAGAUGGAUCUGGCAAAGAAAAGAGGCUCAGCUGACAGUAGACGUUUAUCGAAUGUCGAAAUCAUUGGUCAGAAACUGGGUCAGAUCGAUUUGAAUUUCCCGGAUAAGGGUGAUGUCCAAAUGGAGGUCGGUGAGAGCUGUACCAGGGAACAUUAUGAUUCGUCAAUGGAUGGAGUGUUGAACUCGUCAAGCCAAUCAGUGCCGUCUGCACUGGAAGUGGAAGAAUGGCUGGCAUUUGUGAGCCAGAGCCUGAGGGAGGCGCUGAACAGUGAGGUGGAGGCGAUGGCACAGACGGGAUUCGUGGCCAUGUUCACCAAGGCCCUCACCACCUAUGGCCGCUCGUCCAAGGUCACCGAGUACAUAGCUCACAUUCUGUCAUUGCCGUUUGUGGGCCAGCGGCGGGUUGACAACAUCGAACAAGUUUAUUUGGAAGUAAAGGCAGUGCCAAACCUUGUACACGCCAUUAGACUGCAAACGGACGAGAUUGAAGCAGCGGCCUCCAGCGCUGAGACAGUCAGCGCCGCCUGGGAGCCGAGUGACGAAGCACUGGCCGCCAUUGAGAUAGUGUGUGUGCUCCUCACCUAUCUGGUCCACUGUGACUCCGCCUUCCUCGAUCACUUCUGCGAUGCUGCCGUUAUGAUGCACAUGGCUCCAAGACUGCAGUUCCUCUUGUCACAGCAACUACGAAGAAGGAAGUUGAGAAUCGUUAAUGACCUAGUAGCAAUACUUACUCUAGUGCUGGUCAAAAAGCCAGAAAACUCUAAACUUGUCGAAGAUGUAAUACUGAUGCCUCCAAACUCAGAUAGUGAGUUACAUGCAAUGCUAACGCAUAGCAGUGAUGUACUCCGCACUCGUACCUGUUACCUGCUAAAGAUGCUGGCUCACCACUGUAGCAAAGCCUUGCAGAAUAUUUGGUCUAAAGAACUCGAAAAUGAUAUAGAGUCCUUGGAAUAUGACUCGGAUCACUCAGUUAGACUGGCAGCUGAAGAUGCUCUGGAAGAAUUGAAGAAGCAGCCAUUUUUCACUCACACUAGUUGUGAUUUUGAUCAGGAGUGAUGAUAUUUCUUCUAUUUUAAAAUAUGUUUACCACGGUAUGUUCCUGAAUCAAUUCCUCCUGAAAUUUGACAAUAAGAUGUAAAACUAUCUCUUCGAUUUUCUUCUCUUUCUCUUCAACUGCGUCUACCUUGAUGGCUAUGAUAAUUGAAAUGUACUCAAAUCUUAUCAAUGAUUGUGGAAAACUCUGACCUCGUAGGAAACUCAAGAAGUUUCUCGCUAUUUGAAGGAAUCUCUUCUCUUCAAUUUCGUACCACUGCUCAUGACGCGCACGAAUCAACCAGUAUUCCAUCAGGAAGAAUUCGGAAGUCAUUCACAGGGAUCAUUAGGAAUUACCAAUAGGAAAUAUUUUCAAUGUUUGAGUGGAAUUUAAGAAAUAAAUGCUUUUUAAUAGGCUACCUAUGUUUCUGGAAAAAGGUUUUCCUCAUAAUAAUCGAAUUGAUGAUUUAUUUACUGUGUUCUUAUUUUUAUCAUCUAUAAGUUUUCUUUUCAUUUUAUAUGUUGUAAUGUAUCAUUAGUUUAUGAUUAAAUGUUAUGUUUUGUUUCAAA